RNAcentral lists this long non-coding RNA (577 nucleotides) under Vulpes vulpes (red fox). Its description in RNAcentral is "lncRNA (ENSVVUG00000008457.1)". The record is from RNAcentral. Lineage: Eukaryota; Metazoa; Chordata; Mammalia; Carnivora; Canidae.
CAGAGUUCUCUGUGAGAACGAGCCGGGGGGUACUGUCCACCCGGCGGUGGCUCCCCAGCAACCUUCUGAAGGAGUACGUGGACAGGAAGCCUCAGAGAAGCCUUUGGAACAGUACGGCAGGUUAGGUUUAGCAGGAGGCCUUAAAUACCACGGAGCAGGACCCAUCCCCUUGGAGGUCUGACCGGCCCGUUCCGUUGUCUCUCCAACCAGUAACGAGGGUCAGACAAGCACCCACAGACGCGGAUGUGGGGAGAAGCAGAUCCGUUCUCCUGUUUCGAACAUAUCUGGGGAGCGGCAGCAUGCCCACGCUCCUCGUACUCAAGCACCACCCGAAUCUGAGCACCAUGUGCCGGCCCAGCGGUCCCUUCCAGUCUAAUGGCAAAGCCCGUGUCCCCUGCUUCACGUCCGUGGGUUAGGGGCCGCCGUUUCUGCAGUUUUGGAGUGUCGCUGGUUACUGUCACCAAAUGGUUGGUAAAUGUGCCAGCUCUCUGGAAAUAGAUAUACGUGUGAGCGGCUUGCCGUUGUGGUGGCCCCUGGGGGACCCAGGGCACGACCCCACUGGGAAGGAGGCUUGCUG